GAUGAACGCUGGCGGCGUGCUUAACACAUGCAAGUCGAGCGAGAAACUACAUGCAGACACUUCGGUAGAAGCGAGUAGCGGAAAGCGGCGGACGGGUGAGUAACGCGUAGGCAACCUGCCCUUCACAGAGGUAUAGCCUCGGGAAACCGGGAUUAAAACCACAUAAAAUCAUAGGUUCGCAUGAACCAAAGGUCAAAGAUUUAUCGGUGAAGGAUGGGCCUGCGUCUGAUUAGCUGGUUGGUAGGGUAAAAGCCUACCAAGGCGACGAUCAGUAGCCGACCUGAGAGGGUGAUCGGCCACAUUGGAACUGAGACACGGUCCAAACUCCUACGGGAGGCAGCAGUGGGGGAUAUUGCACAAUGGGGGAAACCCUGAUGCAGCAACGCCGCGUGAGGUAUGAAGGCCUUUGGGUUGUAAGCCUCUGUCCUAGGGGAAGAAAAAAAAGACGGUACCCGAAGGAGAG
This 463-nucleotide ribosomal RNA is filed under the name [Eubacterium] saphenum. RNAcentral describes it as "bacterial SSU rRNA". It matches the Rfam family "Bacterial small subunit ribosomal RNA", at positions 28 to 489 of the family's 1533-position model. The record is from RNAcentral. Lineage: Bacteria; Bacillati; Bacillota; Clostridia; Peptostreptococcales; Anaerovoracaceae.